UACGUAGGGUCCGAGCGUUGUCCGGAAUUACUGGGCGUAAAGAGCUCGUAGGUGGUUUGUCGCGUUGUUCGUGAAAACUCACAGCUCAACUGUGGGCGUGCGGGCGAUACGGGCAGACUAGAGUACUGCAGGGGAGACUGGAAUUCCUGGUGUAGCGGUGAAAUGCGCAGAGAUCGGGAGGAACACCGAUGGCGAAGGCAGGUCUCUGGGCAUUAACUGACGCUGAGGAGCGAAAGCAUGGGGAGCGAACAGG
RNAcentral lists this ribosomal RNA (253 nucleotides) under uncultured bacterium. RNAcentral's name for it is "partial 16S ribosomal RNA". It matches the Rfam family "Bacterial small subunit ribosomal RNA", at positions 524 to 776 of the family's 1533-position model. The record is from RNAcentral.